This 2958-nucleotide small RNA is filed under the name Pongo abelii (Sumatran orangutan). RNAcentral describes it as "processed transcript". The record is from RNAcentral. Lineage: Eukaryota; Metazoa; Chordata; Mammalia; Primates; Hominidae.
GAGUCUUGUUGGGAAUUGCUGAGACACAAAGUGCCUCUUACCAGAAACUCUGAACCCCAUUAAUCAUUUGUGUUUAAUUCCUCUCUCUAGAGCUGUUGUUGAUAGCCAGCCCCUCCCACCCCACAGAGGGGAGCCCAGUGACCCUGAUGUGUAAGAUGCCCUUUCUACAGAGUUCAGAUGCCCAGUUCCAGUUCUGCUUCUUCAGAGAUGCCCGGGCCUUGGACCCAGGUUGGAGCAGCUCCCCCAAGCUCCAGAUCGCUGCCAUGUGGAAAGAAGACUCAGGGUCAUACUGGUGCGAGGCACAGACAAUGGUGUCCAAAGUCUUGAGGAGCAGGAGAUCCCAGAUAAAUGUGCACAGGGUCCCUGUCGCUGAUGUGAGCUUGGAGACUCAGCCCCCAGGAGGACAAGUGAUGGAGGGAGACAGGCUGGUCCUCAUCUGCUCAGUUGCUAUGGGCACAGGAGACAUCACCUUCCUUUGGUACAAAGGGGCUGUAGGUUUAAACCUUCAGUCAAAGAUCCAGCGUUCACUGACAGCAGAGUAUGAGAUUCCUUCAGCGAGGGAGAGUGAUGCUGAGCAAUAUUACUGUGUAGCUGAAAAUGGCUAUGGUCCCAGCCCCAGUGGGCUGGUAAGCAUCACUGUCAGAAGUAAGUUCCACUACCCUCCAUUCAGCCAGUCAGUCACAAACUGGGCUCCACAUUUCCCUGGGGCACACAAAGUUUCCCUGGGGCAUGCUGAGGAAGUUCAAUGGGGCUGAGCAUCAGUGGGCAGGGAUUAUGAGUUUGCUGCAUUGUCAGAGACUGUCUCUUACACUCUACUAUCUCCCUCAGUCCCGGUGUCUCACCCAAUCCUCAUGCUCAAGGCUCCCAGGGCCCAGGCUGCAGUGGAGGAUGUGCUGGAGCUUCACUGUGAGGCCCUGAGAGGCUCUCCUCCAAUCCUGUACUGGUUUUAUCACGAGGAUAUCACCUUGGGGAGCAGCUCAGCCCCCUCUGGAGGAGGAGCCUCCUUCAACCUUUCCCUGACUGCAGAACAUUCUGGAAACUACUCUUGUGAGGCCAACAAUGGCCUGGGGGCCCAGCGCAGUGAGACAGUGAAACUCAACUUCACAGGAAGACGUUCAGCCAGGGAUCCGCUCAGGAGACUUCCCAGCCCUGUACCCCAAGAGUUCACCUACCUCAACUCACCUACCCCAGGGCAGCUACAGCCUAUAUAUGAAAAUGUGAAUGUUGUAAGUGGGGAUGAGGUUUAUUCAUUGGCGUACUGUAACCAGCCGGAGCAGGAAUCAGUAGCAGAAACCCUAGCGACACAUAUGGAGGACAAGGUUUCUUUAGACAUCUAUUCCAGGCUGAGGAAAGCAAACAUUACAGAUGUGGACUAUGAAGAUGCUAUGUAAGGUUAUGGAAGAUUCUGCUCUUUGAAAACCAUCCAUGACCCCAAGCCUCAGACCUGAUAUGUUCUUCAGAGAUCCUGGGGCAGUAGCUUUCCAGUAUGCCUCUUCUGGAUGCCAUUCUCCAUGGCACUAUUCCUUCAUCUACUGUGAAGUGAAGUUGGCGCAGCCCUGAAGAAACUACCUAGGAGAGAACUAAUAGACACAGGAGUGACAGGGACUGUUAUCAGAACCAGAUUCCUGCUGGCUUCUUUGAAAAUAGGUCAAAUUGUGCUCUUCUGUUUACAAGAGGAAACAAGAUGGAAUCAAAGAAAUUAGGAUCUUGGGGUGGAGGGACAGUGAAGCUUAGAGCACAUGAACUCAAGGUUAAUGACUCUGCAGGACUUCACAGAGAGAGCUGUGCCCAUCAUUCAGUCCAAGUGCUUUCUCUACCCAGACAGCACAGAACUCCAGCCCCGCCACUUACAUGGAUCAUCGAGUUUCCACUUAAAAUAUGAUUCUAUUUAUUUUGAGUCACUGUUACCAAAUUAGAACUAAAACAAAGUUACAUAAAAAGUUAUUGUGACUACACUUAAUUUUAGUGACAUAUUUUUGUAUAUAUAGGCCAACCUAUACCACAUCCAAAAUUAUGUAUCUGUUACAGCCCCUAGAAGCUUUAUGAAUAAAGUAUGUCUUCUUUUAUUCACAAAAUUUUUGAAAUCAUGGUAAUAUGGUUUGAAGUCUGUAUCUUAAUUAUUAUUAUUUUUUUAAGUUGAGACAGGGUCUCACUCUGUCACUCAAUCUGGAAUGCAGUGGCACAAUCUUGCCUCACUGCAACGUCUGCCUCUCAGGCUCAAGCAAACCUGUCACCUCAGCCUGCUGAGUAGCUGGGACUACAGGCACAUGCCACCAAACUUGGCUAUUUUUUGUCUUACGUAGAGACAAGAUUUCACCGUUUUGCCCAGGCUGGUCUCAAACUCCUGGGAUCAAGCAAUGUAUUUAAUUUUAAAACAACCAGUCACUCACUCUUACGAAUUAAUAAACAUUUUGAGUUAUAUAAAGUAAAAAGUUAAAGUCUUUCCUGUAAGUUAACACAAAUGUUAACUACUGUUAAAAACUUUACAGGUAGCUCUCUAGAUAUUUUUCUAUUUUUGUAUACAUACUUAUACAUACAUGUAAGUAUAUAAACAUUUAGAAGUAUAUACCUAUCUAACAAACUAUUGUGAAAUAUUUUCAAAUCUGUAAAUAGAUCUAUUAUACUAUUUUAAAAGUCUCUAUAGUAGUGUGUUAUAUAGAUAAAUCAUAACUUUUUUCUUUUUUAUUGUAGUAAAUAUGCACAACAUAAAAUUGAUCAUUUUAACCAUUUUUAAGUGUACAAUUCAGUGGCAUUAAGUACUAUCAUAAUAUAUUUUAAUCUUUCUCACCACUGGUGGACAUUAAGGAGGCUCUCAAAAAAUUCAUAUUAUAAAAACAAAGUGCAAACAAAUGUCUUUGUACAAGCAUAUUAUGGCACUCCUGCUGGAUUAUCUGAAGAAUAAAUUUGUAAAUCUAGUAUUGCUAGAUUAUGCAUAUUAAAUAUUCUUGUUAAAUAGUC